Molecule: long non-coding RNA, 892 nt
Organism: Trachemys scripta elegans
Lineage: Eukaryota; Metazoa; Chordata; Testudines; Emydidae
Exons: 3
Source: RefSeq, a predicted model, not a curated record
UCAGGAGGGAGGUGCUGUGCUGGGCACAGGGCCUGGAACUGCAGAGGAAGGCCUGCAGCGAGACACAUAAAAUGCCUCCUUCCUCAGCAGCCGCUUCCAAGCUGCAGAGAGUGAGUGGGCAGGGAAGAGACAUCUACCAGCAAAGUUCCAACAGAAGUGGAUGUCUGCUUGGCAAUGCAGAGGGGCUGCUAACAGCCGGUAUGCCACGGUGCCAGGAAUGGAAGCCCUUCCUUGGGGAAGCCCCAACUGCAGAGAAGCCUGUGCCCCAAAUCCAUCAAUCCAACUGCAACAAAGCAUUUUCAGCUAAAUCAGGAUACUCUACUUCCUGUCCUAAACUAUGUGCAGUGUUAUCUCACACUGUUAAAAGCUGCUGUGUUCUGUCACAGAAGUAGGUGCAUUUCAGUGGCAGGUGAAGGAACUCCUGUGAGAAGAUAAGAUCCGAUCUUGCAUCCACUGAAGCCAAUGGGAGUUUUGCCAUAGUAUUCAAUAGGAGAAUUGGACUCUGACAAGCAUGGAUCUGCUAUGUAAUAAUCUAAGCAUACUGAUAUGUACCGUAGUUACUGAGAUAGACUGUAUAACUUAUAUGGGGGGGGGGACAUUUAUUACAGACUUUUACCGCUUUAAUUCAAUGAGGGCUGUUGGCAGAACAAGUAGGGUGGUCACACAAUGGCCCCCCAGAUAAGAACAUCUUGGCAUACACUUGAAAUACACUGGGGCUGAUCAAAAGGACUAAGCAGCUUUGAAAGGACAUUCUCUCAACACUGGCAAGAGAACUGGUUUAUGAGUUAAGGGAACAGAUUAUAUCACCCAGACCCUCGCUCUCUUGGGAGGUCUAUAGCAAGCUUAGACCUACCAGGAAUGCCCUGUGGAAGAUGGACAGACACCUGGUAAG